This is an unclassified non-coding RNA of Pongo abelii (Sumatran orangutan), 146 nucleotides long. It matches the Rfam family "Metazoan signal recognition particle RNA". From Rfam's summary of the family: The signal recognition particle (SRP) is a universally conserved ribonucleoprotein. It is involved in the co-translational targeting of proteins to membranes. Lineage: Eukaryota; Metazoa; Chordata; Mammalia; Primates; Hominidae. The record is from Ensembl.
GCCGGGUAUUGUAGCGCGUGCCUGUAGUCCCAGCUACUCGGGAGGCUGAGGUGGGAGGAUGGCUUGAACCCAGGAGGUGGAGGUUGCAGUGAGCUGGUUGAGCCACUGCACUCCAGCCUGGGUGACAGAGCCAGACCCUGUCUCAA